GGAUGCCAUGAGGUAUCUGAUGCUUGGUCUUCUUUCAUGGCCUUGUUUCUCGUUAGAUUGGCAUACAUCGAGAAGGAAACGGGUUUUUGCGACACUGGCUGCCCUCAUACAAGGAGCUUCCUGUUACUAUACCCUCGUUUACACAU
Molecule: small nucleolar RNA, 146 nt
Filed under: Hordeum vulgare
Lineage: Eukaryota; Viridiplantae; Streptophyta; Magnoliopsida; Poales; Poaceae
Description: Small nucleolar RNA F1/F2/snoR5a
Rfam family: Small nucleolar RNA F1/F2/snoR5a
About the family: This family contains F1, F2 and snoR5a sequences, all of which are members of the the H/ACA class of snoRNA that guide the sites of modification of uridines to pseudouridines.
Source: RNAcentral